This 465-nucleotide ribosomal RNA is filed under the name Vreelandella stevensii. Its description in RNAcentral is "partial 16S ribosomal RNA". It matches the Rfam family "Bacterial small subunit ribosomal RNA", at positions 338 to 795 of the family's 1533-position model. Lineage: Bacteria; Pseudomonadati; Pseudomonadota; Gammaproteobacteria; Oceanospirillales; Halomonadaceae. The record is from RNAcentral.
CCUACGGGAGUCAGCAGUGGGGAAUAUUGGACAAUGGGGGCAACCCUGAUCCAGCCAUGCCGCGUGUGUGAAGAAGGCCCUCGGGUUGUAAAGCACUUUCAGUGAGGAAGAACGCCUGGUGGUUAAUACCCAUCAGGAAAGACAUCACUCACAGAAGAAGCACCGGCUAACUCCGUGCCAGCAGCCGCGGUAAUACGGAGGGUGCGAGCGUUAAUCGGAAUUACUGGGCGUAAAGCGCGCGUAGGUGGCUUGAUAAGCCGGUUGUGAAAGCCCCGGGCUCAACCUGGGAACGGCAUCCGGAACUGUCAAGCUAGAGUGCAGGAGAGGAAGGUAGAAUUCCCGGUGUAGCGGUGAAAUGCGUAGAGAUCGGGAGGAAUACCAGUGGCGAAGGCGGCCUUCUGGACUGACACUGACACUGAGGUGCGAAAGCGUGGGUAGCAAACAGGAUUAGAUACCCUUGUAGUC